RNAcentral lists this ribosomal RNA (700 nucleotides) under uncultured beta proteobacterium. RNAcentral's name for it is "bacterial SSU rRNA". It matches the Rfam family "Bacterial small subunit ribosomal RNA", at positions 94 to 790 of the family's 1533-position model. Lineage: Bacteria; Pseudomonadati; Pseudomonadota; Betaproteobacteria. The record is from RNAcentral.
AGUGGCGAACGGGUGAGUAAUAUAUCGGAACGUAUCCAAUAAUGGGGGAUAACUAAUCGAAAGGUUAGCUAAUACCGCAUACGCCCUACGGGGGAAAGCAGGGGAUCUUCGGACCUUGCGUUAAUGGAGCGGCUGAUAUCUGAUUAGCUAGUAGGUGAGGUAAAGGCUCACCUAGGCUUCGAUCAGUAGCUGGUCUGAGAGGACGACCAGCCACACUGGAACUGAGACACGGUCCAGACUCCUACGGGAGGCAGCAGUGGGGAAUUUUGGACAAUGGGCGCAAGCCUGAUCCAGCCAUUCCGCGUGAGUGAAGAAGGCCUUCGGGUUGUAAAGCUCUUUCGCAAGGGAAGAAACGAUACCGACGAAUAAUCGGUGUUAAUGACGGUACCUUGAUAAGAAGCACCGGCUAACUACGUGCCAGCAGCCGCGGUAAUACGUAGGGUGCGAGCGUUAAUCGGAAUUACUGGGCGUAAAGCGUGCGCAGGCGGUUUUGUAAGUCAGAUGUGAAAUCCCCGGGCUCAACCUGGGAACUGCGUUUGAAACUACAAGGCUAGAGUAUGGUAGAGGGGGGUAGAAUUCCACGUGUAGCAGUGAAAUGCGUAGAGAUGUGGAGGAAUACCAAUGGCGAAGGCAGCCCCCUGGACUAAUACUGACGCUCAUGCACGAAAGCGUGGGGAGCAAACAGGAUUAGAUACCCUGG